Long non-coding RNA from Priapulus caudatus, 1021 nucleotides. RefSeq lists it as uncharacterized. The transcript has 3 exons. The record is from RefSeq and is a predicted model, not a curated record. NCBI's taxonomy places the organism in Eukaryota, Metazoa, Priapulida, Priapulimorpha, Priapulimorphida, Priapulidae.
CUGGCAUUUAGGUGUUAUAUUGCAUUUUCAGUCUAUUAUUGCUCUCUGUUUGGCAUGCCAUGGCAUUCUGUAUUAUAUUGCGACUACGUACAAUUUUCUGCUGACGGUACGUCUAAAACAACCUAUUAAUGAGUGUUAGCGAAGGCAAACAACGUGGCCAAAUGUAUGUCGAUGUAUACCCAUGAUACGAUCCUUAUGUAAGUUUGUUAACUGUCGGAGUGUUUUGGCCAGGAAUGAUCUAGCAGCGCCAUCGUACGCAGAAAUAUGUUCACUACUGGCAAUGAGAAGUCGCCAUGACAACCGACGGAAGGAGCCUAAGAAGAAUACUGAUGCUGAUGAUGGUGGAUGCGGUGUCCAGCCUUCUCCUCGACCACACUGACAACGAAGAAGACAUCCUGUGAUGUGCUACUGCAGAGCAAACUGCUAACAAGGCAAAGAAAAGUGCCGGCGGGUGCGAAGAAGGUUGCGAUGAAGACGACUGCUUCGUGGUCGAAGCCGCUGAGUAUGGUCACCUGGAAUCGUGGUGCUACGGGAGAUGUGGAUGCAGCAACUGCAAGUGCGCUGAGAUAAAAUCGUGUGAUGGUGGCUACAUCUGCUCACGUCGGACUCCGAUAGACGGCUCACAAAAGUUCCGCGCACGCUAUUUUUGCAACAAGUUAUGUGGCUACUCGUACUGCGACUGCAUCUUUAAAUGUGAUUUCUAGAUCAGUCAGCCAGAUAUCGAGAAAUUUAUUAAUGCCAGUAAUUUUCGGAAAGACGUCGAUUGCUCGCCUUGUACGAAUCUCCUAUUUCAAGUAGAACUAUGACGUAGUAGCUUCCAACUAUUAGCUAGCCCAACUACUAUAGCUAGCUACUUCCAAAGACUAGUAGGUUUCAACAUGUUCUUAUAAUAAAACGCGUUUUACCAGCGGAAACAAUAAUACCAAACAGACUUACAUAUGUCACAACCAAUUUCGUUUCUGAUAAGUUCAAGUCGAGUAUUUUGUGUAUGCGGCAUGUUACCGCGUUACUGUGCAUUAUG